GUGCUUGCUUCGGUAACACAUAUACUAAAAUUGGAAUGAUAUAGAGAAGAUUAGCAUGCCCCCUACACUACGAUGACGUGCAAAUUCGUGAAGUGUUCUGUUAAAAAUGUUU
Gorilla gorilla gorilla (western lowland gorilla) is the source of this 112-nucleotide small nuclear RNA. Lineage: Eukaryota; Metazoa; Chordata; Mammalia; Primates; Hominidae. The record is from Ensembl.